Molecule: ribosomal RNA, 563 nt
Filed under: Staphylococcus epidermidis
Lineage: Bacteria; Bacillati; Bacillota; Bacilli; Caryophanales; Staphylococcaceae
Description: bacterial SSU rRNA
Rfam family: Bacterial small subunit ribosomal RNA
Source: RNAcentral
UUGGUUAGGUAACGGCUUACCUUUGCUUUUAUGCGUAGCCAACCUGAGAGGGUGAUCGGCCACACUGGAACUGAGACACGGUCCAGACUCCUACGGGAGGCAGCAGUAGGGAAUCUUCCGCAAUGGGCGAAAGCCUGACGGAGCAACGCCGCGUGAGUGAUGAAGGUCUUCGGAUCGUAAAACUCUGUUAUUAGGGAACAACAAAUGUGUAAGUAACUAUGCACGUCUUGACGGUACCUAAACAGAAAGCCGGGGCUAACUACGUGCCAACAGCCGCGGCAAUACGUAAGAGGCAAGCGUUAUCCGGAAUUAUUGGGCGUAAAGCGCGCGUAAGCGGGUUUUUAAGACUGAUGUGAGGGCCCACGGCUCAAGGGUGGGGGGUCAUUGGAGACUGGAAGCUUGAGUGCAAAACAGGAAAAGGAAUUCCAUGUGUAGCGGAAAACGCACAAAAUAUAGGGGAAAGGGCGGCGAGGGCGAGGUAUCUGCCUGAACUGACGGUAAUCCGCGGAAACGUGCGGAUCGAACGGGAAUAAAAACGCUGGAAGUCCGGCGCGAAACGAGAG